ACCUUCCCUCCCUCUUCCCCAGCUAACUUCCUGCUUUGACCCCUAUAAGAAUCCCUGUGAAAAAAUAAACUUUGGCAGCUUGAUCAGAGUUCUUUGUCUUACUGUCAUUCUUCGUGUCUCUUGUCCCAUCAUUCCAGGUCCCUGGGAGUUCGAGUCUCCAUCUCCCGCCCUGCUGGCCGGGGCAAAGAAGGAAUGAAUGAGUUACAGUUCCUUGUGCCAAAACCAUAAUUCUUGCCCAAGUUUGAGGAUACCCUUGGGUCCUCCCUGGAUAUAGACCUUGUCCUUGAUCAUGGGUCCAGCAGGUUUCUUUAAAACUGAGGCUAUCUCAGCCAUGGUAGACCUUCUGGGCAGUUUCUGCCAUUUCAGAGAUCAGCUUUCCCUCAAACACUUGUAACUUUUGGAGCUUUCUCCAUAUGUCUGGGGCUGACUAAGAAAUGAAAGCCAUAUUAAUGGUUUUUCAGUUCUCAGGUGCCUCUGGAUCGAUAGGAGAGUAGAGGCGAUAGGCAUUAUAAAGCCUUUCCAAAAGGUGGCAGGUGACUCAUCUGGCUCUUGAAGAGUAUCACUCACCUUGGUGAGGUUGGUGGGUUUUCUAGCUGCCACCCAUAAUCCCUGCAGCAGAGUCUGGCGAUACUGAAGCAAGUGCUCCCUACCUUGAUUGGUGUUGGGGUUCCAAUUGGGAGCAGGCUGCCUCUCAGAGUUCCUCCGAAGUCAACAGGAUCUGCAAAAGCUGAUAACAGUCUUCCCAGAGGACCUGGGUUCAAUUCCCAGCACCCACAUG
Molecule: long non-coding RNA, 778 nt
Organism: Nannospalax galili (Upper Galilee mountains blind mole rat)
Lineage: Eukaryota; Metazoa; Chordata; Mammalia; Rodentia; Spalacidae
Exons: 3
Source: RefSeq, a predicted model, not a curated record